UGGAAAUGGAUUGUAUUUGGGUUCAAAUUUUUGACCCCAUACAAAUUAAUAUCUAUUGGAUUUCAAAUAUGUUAAUCCCUAUUCUAGCUGACCUACUCACAUCCCUAAUUUCAACCUUCUACUAGAUCUCAGUCAUAGAAAAAUUCUAUGUAAGAGGGUUUUUAGUGUAAGGUGAAUGAGUAUUGUAUAAAAAGAGCUAACCAAGUCGGUCCAAAAGAUAUAAGUGCAAAAGAUCGUGC
This 239-nucleotide long non-coding RNA is filed under the name Elaeis guineensis (African oil palm). RNAcentral's name for it is "long non-coding RNA (EGUI_LNC012654)". Lineage: Eukaryota; Viridiplantae; Streptophyta; Magnoliopsida; Arecales; Arecaceae. The record is from RNAcentral.